RNAcentral lists this ribosomal RNA (450 nucleotides) under uncultured bacterium. Its description in RNAcentral is "bacterial SSU rRNA". It matches the Rfam family "Bacterial small subunit ribosomal RNA", at positions 354 to 796 of the family's 1533-position model. The record is from RNAcentral.
GUGGGGAAUUUUGGACAAUGGGCGAAAGCCUGAUCCAGCCAUGCCGCGUGCAGGAUGAAGGCCUUCGGGUUGUAAACUGCUUUUGUACGGAACGAAAAGACUCCUUCUAAUAAAGGGGGUCCAUGACGGUACCGUAAGAAUAAGCACCGGCUAACUACGUGCCAGCAGCCGCGGUAAUACGUAGGGUGCAAGCGUUAAUCGGAAUUACUGGGCGUAAAGCGUGCGCAGGCGGUUAUAUAAGACAGAUGUGAAAUCCCCGGGCUCAACCUGGGAACUGCAUUUGUGACUGUAUAGCUAGAGUACGGUAGAGGGGGAUGGAAUUCCGCGUGUAGCAGUGAAAUGCGUAGAUAUGCGGAGGAACACCGAUGGCGAAGGCAAUCCCCUGGACCUGUACUGACGCUCAUGCACGAAAGCGUGGGGAGCAAACAGGAUUAGAUACCCGGGUAGUCC